CAGUAGCCGCGGGAAUACGGAGGGUGCAAGCGUUAAUCGGAAUUACUGGGCGUAAAGCGCACGCAGGCGGUCUGUCAAGUCAGAUGUGAAAUCCCCGGGCUUAACCUGGGAACUGCAUUUGAAACUGGCAGGCUAGAGUCUUGUAGAGGGGGGUAGAAUUCCAGGUGUAGCGGUGAAAUGCGUAGAGAUCUGGAGGAAUACCGGUGGCGAAGGCGGCCCCCUGGACAAAGACUGACGCUCAGGUGCGAAAGCGUGGGGAGCAAACAGGAUUAGAUACCCCUGUAGUCCCUGUCUCUUAUAA
This 301-nucleotide ribosomal RNA is filed under the name uncultured bacterium. Its description in RNAcentral is "partial 16S ribosomal RNA". It matches the Rfam family "Bacterial small subunit ribosomal RNA", at positions 509 to 809 of the family's 1533-position model. The record is from RNAcentral.